GACGAACGCUGGCGGCGUGCUUAACACAUGCAAGUCGAACGGAAAGGCCCUGCUUGCAGGGUACUCGAGUGGCGAACGGGUGAGUAACACGUGGGUGAUCUGCCCUGCACUUCGGGAUAAGCCUGGGAAACUGGGUCUAAUACCGGAUAGGAGCCAUUUUUAGUGUGAUGGUUGGAAAGUUUUUUCGGUGUAGGAUGAGCUCGCGGCCUAUCAGCUUGUUGGUGGGGUAAUGGCCUACCAAGGCGGCGACGGGUAGCCGGCCUGGGAGGGUGGACGGCCACAGUGGGACUGGGACUCAGCCCAGACUCCGACGGGAGGCAGCAGUGGGGAAUAUUGCACAUGGGGCGUAAGCGUGAUGCAGCGCCGCCGCGGGGGGGAGGACGGCCUUCGGGUUGGAAACGCAUUUCGCUAGGGACGAAGCUUUUUGUGACGGUACCUAGAGAAGAAGCACCGGCUAACUACGUG
This 465-nucleotide ribosomal RNA is filed under the name uncultured bacterium. RNAcentral describes it as "partial 16S ribosomal RNA". It matches the Rfam family "Bacterial small subunit ribosomal RNA", at positions 28 to 507 of the family's 1533-position model. The record is from RNAcentral.